Molecule: ribosomal RNA, 440 nt
Filed under: uncultured bacterium
Lineage: Bacteria
Description: partial 16S ribosomal RNA
Rfam family: Bacterial small subunit ribosomal RNA
Source: RNAcentral
CCUACGGUGGGCAGCAGUGGGGGAUAUUGCACAAUGGGGGGAACCCUGAUGCAGCGACGCCGCGUGGGUGAAGGAGCGUUUCGGCGCGUAAAGCUCUAUCGGCAGGGAAGAUGAUGACGGUACCUGACUAAGAAGCCCCGGCUAACUACGUGCCAGCAGCCGCGGUAAUACGUAGGGGGCAAGCGUUAUCCGGAUUUACUGGGUGUAAAGGGGGCGUAGGUGGCAGGGCAAGUCAGAUGUGAAAGCCCGGGGCUCAACCCCGGGAGUGCACUUGAAACUGCACGGCUGGAGUGCAGGAGAGGCAAGCGGAAUUCCUAGUGUAGCGGUGAAAUGCGUAGAUAUUAGGAGGAACACCAGUGGCGAAGGCGGCCUACUGGACUGUAACUGACGUUGAGGCCCGAAAGCGUGGGGAGCAAACAGGAUUAGAUACCCGUGUAGUC